GAGAGUGUAGCUCAAGUGGUAGAGCGCAUGCUUAGCAUGCACGAGGUCCUGGGUUCAAUCCCCAGUACCUCCU
This 73-nucleotide transfer RNA is filed under the name Camelus bactrianus (Bactrian camel). It matches the Rfam family "tRNA". Rfam says of the family: Transfer RNA (tRNA) molecules are approximately 80 nucleotides in length. Their secondary structure includes four short double-helical elements and three loops (D, anti-codon, and T loops). Lineage: Eukaryota; Metazoa; Chordata; Mammalia; Artiodactyla; Camelidae. RNAcentral also lists the same sequence under 2 other names. The record is from Rfam by way of RNAcentral.